AUUCUUUGCUCGUGCAUCUCCUCUACCGCAACCUCCUCCGCUCGCCUCUUUUCUUCCUCUCUCUUGUAGAUGCUUACGCCUCCCUCACCGGCGACCGGCUGUGCCGCCAGCCAUGGCCACCGCGCCUCCCCCACCGUGGCUGCCCCCACCCCGCCCCCUCACGCCCCACCAGCGACCAGCGCUGCAAACCAACCCCCACCGGUGCUGCCGAUGGCAGCGAGAAGUAAUGGAGAGCCGCGGCGGCCGACGUUGAGGCGUUGCAACCAUGGCGACAAGUGAUGGAGAUCCAUCAUUUUCUUUUCUUGGAAGCAGCCCCAAUUUUUGCUGCAGACGCCCUUGAUUUUUGCUGAAACCAGUACAUGACGCUGCAAGUUGACAAUGGCGGCGAGCCGGAGACGGGGACGCCAGGGAUGCUCCAACCAUGAUGACAGCGCACUAGAACCCUCAUGUGUUUGAGUUGCAACCAUGACGAGCAGAGGCAGCCAAGGCAAGUGUCGGACACGACCGUCAGGCAAGCGGCAGGCGAGCGCGGGUGACGGGCGUGAUGGCGCGGUGGAAAGCAAGCACGGGAAGACGAGGACUAUCGCGGGCGGCCGGCGAGCACACAGAUCUGGCAUGUGCUCUCGCUGUCCUUUUUUUCAUGUUUCCUGUGCGUGUUUUUUUUCUGCGUGUUUGACUUUAAAACAAAGCAAUAAGACGGUGGGGAACCGAUGUAUCGGGCGGCUGGGGCUUGACCGGCCGAACAGUUCGGCCGGUGCGCCGGCGCCUACAAGCGCCCUUUUAAUUUGUGCGCGGCGCAUUCGUCGUGGCAACGAUCCGUCCAACGGCUUUGGAGACUGAGUUUGUCUGUGGCCGGAUCUCUGUGUCCACACAUACAAGGAUGCUCUUGGAGGAAUUUUAUAGGAAAAAAAUGAGAAAAAUUCACUGUAGGUCACAAAACUUGAGCCGGUUGACACUUUAGUACCACUAUUUCAAAAAUACCCGAACUACAGUUCAUGUACUUGCGCAAAGGGUUCACUUUGGUCCGUAUAUACGAAUUUAGCUACGUAUUCGCUGACUUGGCCGAGUCAGCUGUUGCUGGCUAGGCUUUGACCGCCACCUGUGUAGCACCUAGUCGGGGGGGGGUAAUACUAGUAGUUCGGUUUUUUUUGCAAAUGCGCCAACACCUGAACAUUAAACGCUCGCGCACCUGGUGGGACCGCACCGCUCGCACCCUCUCUGCUCGUCGUUGCUGCCGAGGUAGUGCCUUUGCUCGUCGGCGUCGACGACGGCUCCAUGAGCACGUCGUCAGACGCUGAGCUGCCGCCGUCCGCGCCGUUCGGGAGGGGCCUGCGGACGUGCCUCUUGCUCCUUCGCGUCGUCAUGAUGAUGCCUCGCCGCCCAUGUACGGUACGUCGCCGUCGCCGGCAGCUCCGUUGCUCGAUCUGUCCAAUUUAGCUCCCGUGAAGAGUUCUUGGUCGCAUCAAUUGCGCGUACGAGCUAGGGUUUGGGCGUUCGUUCAACUCUCUGACGAAUUGGGUGUGGGGUGGUAGGGUUUUAGCAGUUUCUUGAAGAACUUUGUGGCAGACCAUAAAUAGGGCUACGUCAUGGGGGGUUUGCAGUAGAUGGCCAUGUUUGCAGAGAUCUGGAGUGGUUAGGGUUCUUUCUCCCCCCAAUUUGUCAUGGGUCCAGGGGUCUAGGGUUUAAGCAGUAAAGUUUGCUUUUAGUGUCAGAGUGUUAAUUGGACCAAAAUUGUUUUAAUUUGCAAUUACAUUGGGUCAGAUUUACCAAAAAUGGUUGCUUUACGACCUGUAAGAUCAUACAUUUGUUAAUUGCAGCCAUGAGUCUCUGUUUUUCUUUCUGAAAAAGUCAAAAAGUCUGAAUGUCUGGACUGUCUGAACCUCUCUGUAGCCUGAAAUGUCUGAACUUUUUCAACUUGAUUGUUUUGCAUGACCCUUAAGCAACCACUUCUCUAUUGAGGUCA
Triticum dicoccoides is the source of this 1963-nucleotide long non-coding RNA. RefSeq lists it as uncharacterized. Lineage: Eukaryota; Viridiplantae; Streptophyta; Magnoliopsida; Poales; Poaceae. The transcript is spliced from 2 exons. The record is from RefSeq and is a predicted model, not a curated record.